GAUGAACGCUGGCGGCGUGCCUAAUACAUGCAAGUCGAGCGAACAGACGAGGAGCUUGCUCCUCUGACGUUAGCGGCGGACGGGUGAGUAACACGUGGAUAACCUACCUAUAAGACUGGGAUAACUUCGGGAAACCGGCGCUAAUACCGGAUAAUAUAUUGAACCGCAUGGUUCAAUAGUGAAAGACGGUUUUGCUGUCACUUAUAGAUGGAUCCGCGCCGCAUUAGCUAGUUGGUAAGGUAACGGCUUACCAAGGCAACGAUGCGUAGCCGACCUGAGAGGGUGAUCGGCCACAUUGGAACGGAGACACGGUCCAGACUCCUACGGGAGGCAGCAGUAGGGAAUCUUCCGCAAUGGGCGAAAGCCUGACGGAGCAACGCCGCGUGAGUGAUGAAGGUCUUCGGAUCGUAAAACUCUGUUAUUAGGGAAGAACAAAUGUGUAAGUAACUAUGCACGUCUUGACGGUACCUAAUCAGAAAGCCACGGCUAACUACGUG
This 497-nucleotide ribosomal RNA is filed under the name uncultured bacterium. Its description in RNAcentral is "partial 16S ribosomal RNA". It matches the Rfam family "Bacterial small subunit ribosomal RNA", at positions 28 to 507 of the family's 1533-position model. The record is from RNAcentral.